This 240-nucleotide unclassified non-coding RNA is filed under the name plant metagenome. RNAcentral describes it as "partial contains small subunit ribosomal RNA and internal transcribed spacer 1". The stretch from base 1 to 46 matches the Rfam family "Eukaryotic small subunit ribosomal RNA", at positions 1786 to 1831 of the family's 1831-position model. The record is from RNAcentral.
AAGUCGUAACAAGGUUUCUGUAGGUGAACCUGCGGAAGGAUCAUUACUUAUAUUAGGCUGGGGAUCCCAAGGACGCUCCCCUACUUCUUUGAAGUAGGCGUGUUCUUGCCCGUCUGCCUGAAUAUUAUACCCGUGCUCUUUUGCUGUACUACUUGUCUCCUUGGUGGGCUUGCCCGCCAAUAGGACACUCCAAAACCUUUUGUAAUAGCAGUCAGCGUCAGAAAUAUUUAAUUAUUACAA